RNAcentral lists this ribosomal RNA (189 nucleotides) under uncultured bacterium. Its description in RNAcentral is "partial 16S ribosomal RNA". It matches the Rfam family "Bacterial small subunit ribosomal RNA", at positions 338 to 524 of the family's 1533-position model. The record is from RNAcentral.
CCUACGGGAGGCAGCAGUAAGGAAUAUUGGACAAUGGACGCAAGUCUGAUCCAGCCAUGCCGCGUGAAGGAUUAAGGUCCUCUGGAUUGUAAACUUCUUUUAUAAGGGACGAAAAAAGGCUUUUCUAAGUCGUCUGACGGUACCUUAUGAAUAAGCACCGGCUAACUCCGUGCCAGCAGCCGCGGUAAU